AUACGGAGGAUGCGAGCGUUAUCCGGAUUUAUUGGGUUUAAAGGGUGCGUAGGCUGUGCGUUAAGUCAGGGGUGAAAUGCCGUCGCUCAACGACGGAGCUGCCCUUGAUACUGGCGUGCUGGAGUACGGAUGCCGUUGGAGGAAUGAGUGGUGUAGCGGUGAAAUGCUUAGAUAUCACUCAGAACACCGAUUGCGAAGGCAUCUGACGAAUCCGUCACUGACGCUGAGGCACGAAAGCGUGGGGAUAGAACAGGAUUAGAUACCCUGGUAUUCCACGCCGUAAACGAUGAUGACUAACCGUCGGCGAUAGACAGCCGGUGGCCAAGCGAAAGCGAUAAGUCAUCCACCUGGGGAGUACGUCGGCAACGAUGAAACUCAAAUGAAUUGGCGGGG
This 393-nucleotide ribosomal RNA is filed under the name uncultured bacterium. RNAcentral's name for it is "partial 16S ribosomal RNA". It matches the Rfam family "Bacterial small subunit ribosomal RNA", at positions 523 to 918 of the family's 1533-position model. The record is from RNAcentral.